UGCAGCUGAGCCAACAUGAAGACAGCUCUGGUAAUUGUCCUUCUGGCGCUCUCGACAUCUGCCUUCCCGUUGAUGCACCGAAAAGCCUGGCUGCGCUAAACGCGCACAACCUUCCAGCGCUCAAGAAAAGCUACGAAGUCAUUGAAAAACUCCUGGACAACCAGUCUGCAAUGACCACCGAGGAAGAGGAAUCAGUCGUGGAAUCUUUGAAGGCUCUCACCACCCUGCAGGCCGACCUUGAUCCGGAAAGUGAAGAGUAUUUCCUGGCUGGUCUCUUUCAGAAGCUUGUUGUCUGGGCAGUUCAACAGGGUGUAUCUAAGGCAGUCUCCCGUGGCGUGCAGGCUGCCAUUAACAAGGGAUAAAAAAGAAGUAAAUCUGUCGACCAUGGUGACGUAAAUAAAAUACAUGCACAU
Long non-coding RNA from Dermacentor silvarum, 413 nucleotides. RefSeq lists it as uncharacterized. NCBI's taxonomy places the organism in Eukaryota, Metazoa, Arthropoda, Arachnida, Ixodida, Ixodidae. The transcript is spliced from 3 exons. The record is from RefSeq and is a predicted model, not a curated record.